This 1228-nucleotide long non-coding RNA is filed under the name Neogale vison (American mink). RNAcentral's name for it is "Neovison vison (American mink) lncRNA (ENSNVIG00000005438.1)". Lineage: Eukaryota; Metazoa; Chordata; Mammalia; Carnivora; Mustelidae. The record is from RNAcentral.
CUUUGUUUUUAUAAAUUUUUUAUUUUUUAUUUACAUAUAAUGUAUUAUUAGCCCUAAGGGUACAGGUCUGUGAAUCACCAGGUUUACAGACUUCGUAGCACAUACUGUCCCCAAUGUCCAUAACCACCCCACCUCCCCCCGGCAACCCUCAGUUUGUUUUGUGAGAUUAAGAGUCUUUUAUGGUUUGUCUCCCUCCCGAUCCCAUCUUGUUUCAUUUAUUUCUUUCCUACCUCCCAAACCCCUCAUGUUGCCUCUCAACUUCCUCAUAUCAGGGAGAUCAUAUGAUAAUUGUCUUUCUCUGAUUGACUUAUUUCGCUAAGCGUAAUACCCUCUAGUUCCAUCCAUGUCGUUGCAAAUGGCAAGAUUUCAUUCCUUUUGAUGGCUGUAUAGUAUUCCAUUGUGUAUAUAUACCACAUCUUCUUUUAUCCAUUCAUCUGUUGAUGGACAUCUAGGUUCUUUCCAUAGUUUGGCUAUUGUGGACAUUGCUGCUAUAAACAUUUGGGUGCAUGUGCCCCUUCGGAUCGCUACGUUUGUAUGUUUAGAGUAAAUACCCAGUAGUGCAAUUGCUGGGUUGUAGGGUAGCUCUAUUUUCAACUUUUUGAGGACCCUCCAUGCUGUUUUCCAGAAUGGCUACACCAGCUUGCCUUCCCACCAGCAGUGUAGGAGGGUUCCCCUUUCUCCGCAUCCUCACCAGCUAAAAGAUUACACUUUGAACAAACAAGUGAGCCCAACUGAAGAACUGUCCUGUCAGUACUUAAAAGGGCCUUGGAGGAAGGAAGUGACUGUUGUAGCACAGAAGGUGUAGAACCAGAAAAUGUGGAAAUACGUGAAGAUCCCUAGGACCAGGAAGGAAAGUCCAGCCCGAGCCAGAAUUACUCACUUAGCUCUCCUGUUGAGGGCUGACCGGCAGCUCUCUGGUGCGAGAGACUCGUUGCAGACGUGCUGGAGAGAGACUUGCUGGACACUCGCUCUGGGACCUGCUGCCUCUGUGUGUUGGGCGCAUAUGUACCUGCUGAGUAGAGAGAACACAUUCUGGAGAUUAGUGACAGUCUCUGCAAGCAAGUCCUUCUGGCUCCUUCCCAGAACACUGAGAUCUACUCCGUGUGUGCCAUGGCUGAAGACCCAGAGGGAGGGGACAAUAUCCCUGUAUUUCCACAGGGUAAGUUUGGGGUGCUAUGGUUUGAAUGCUUCAGUCCCUCUCCCUGUCCCAAAUCCAGAUGUUGAAAUC